AACUUUUAGCAAUGGAUCACUUGGCUCUCGCAUCGAUGAAGAACGCAGCGAAAUGCGAUACGUAAUGUCAAUUGCAGAAUUCCGUGAAUCAUCGAAUCUUUGAACGCACCUUGCGCCUCUUGGUAUUCCGAGGGGCAUGCCUGUUUGAGUGUCGUUGAAUCCUCAAAAGAAAAGCUUAACUGUUUCUCUUUUGGAAUUGGAGUGUGCUGGCCUUUUGUUAAGAAGCCCGGCUCCUCUGAAAUACAUUAGCGAUGUGACAUCCGCAUGCCACCGCGCCUAUCUGGCAUUGAUAGUAUUUUCAUGCCUGAGCGUGUUGUGCAGCUGUGGAAAGUUUCGCUCGCUCAUAGCUGAUGGUUUUCACCAUCCUUUGACCAAUUUAACCUCAAAUCAGGUAGGAUUACCCGCUGAACUUAAGCAUAUCAAUAAGCGGAGGCU
RNAcentral lists this unclassified non-coding RNA (435 nucleotides) under uncultured Hygrocybe. RNAcentral's name for it is "sequence contains ITS2". The stretch from base 1 to 154 matches the Rfam family "5.8S ribosomal RNA". The record is from RNAcentral. Lineage: Eukaryota; Fungi; Basidiomycota; Agaricomycetes; Agaricales; Hygrophoraceae.